CCUACGGGAGGCAGCAGUGGGGAAUAUUGCACAAUGGGGGAAACCCUGAUGCAGCGACGCCGCGUGAGUGAAGAAGUAAUUCGUUAUGUAAAGCUCUAUCAGCAGGGAAGAAAAUGACGGUACCUGAGUAAGAAGCCCCGGCUAACUACGUGCCAGCAGCCGCGGUAAUACGUAGGGGGCAAGCGUUAUCCGGAUUUACUGGGUGUAAAGGGUGCGUAGACGGCAGUGCAAGUCUGGAGUGAAAGGCGGGGGCUCAACCCCUGGACUGCCCUGGAAACUGGACGGCUGGAGUGCAGGAGAGGUAAGUGGAAUUCCUAGUGUAGCGGUGAAAUGCGUAGAUAUUAGGAGGAACACCAGUGGCGAAGGCGGCUUACUGGACUGUAACUGACGUUGAGGCUCGAAAGCGUGGGGAGCAAACAGGAUUAGAUACCCCAGUAGUC
This 440-nucleotide ribosomal RNA is filed under the name uncultured bacterium. RNAcentral's name for it is "partial 16S ribosomal RNA". It matches the Rfam family "Bacterial small subunit ribosomal RNA", at positions 338 to 795 of the family's 1533-position model. The record is from RNAcentral.